Molecule: long non-coding RNA, 1065 nt
Filed under: Cricetulus griseus (Chinese hamster)
Lineage: Eukaryota; Metazoa; Chordata; Mammalia; Rodentia; Cricetidae
Description: lncRNA (ENSCGRG00015037569.1)
Source: RNAcentral
UUUCUUUCCCACCGGCAGUGUAUGAGAGUUCCUUUUUCUCACAUCCUUACCAGCAUUUUCUUUUUUUUUUUCUUAAAAGAAGAAGAAAAAGAAGAAGAAGAAAAGAAAUCCUAGCCUAUGCUAUAUUUGUUGGGUCCUGUAAAAUGUAUUCCCCAUGGGUGAGGCCAGGGAUGGCUCAGUAUGAUCUCAGAACUCGUCAGCCUAAGAACGCAGCCAAUGGCAGAAAGCCCGAAAGGGACUCAGCAGUCCAAAACCGAAAAAAAAGACUCAGUGAUCUGAAAGGCAGCGAGAAGAAACCGCUGAAGGCUUAAAGCCGAAACACACUACUCUUUUAGGAGUGCAGCAGCUUCAGCAUGCCCUUUCAUAGCAGGUGCAAAGCUUGUCAGAACCCCAAGUACAAAGGAGUCACCAAAUCUACAAGUGAAAUCACUGCAUGACCAUUCUGAAAGGACACACAAGAAAGUGGAAACAGCAUCUACUUUGAGGACUGGAUGACACUAGAGUAAGCUGAGGGUAGAAGCAAACUGUGUGCACACACACUUGUAUGUGUGCAGAUAGAUACACUUUUGCAUUUCACUGGUUCUGUUUUACUGUUUAUGUCUUAUCUAUAUAGAAGUGAUGGUUACUAAGAAUGGUUCCUAUUGAUCAAGGGUUCACAGUUCCUCUACAUUUUGUAACUGGGGCUAGAUGGUUAUAAACUACUGUUUACCAUUCUAGGAGAAACAUGAGACAUAACUGCUCAGUAGCUGAACAGCAAACACCUUCCACCCUGCCUCCAUGAACAUGUCUAGAAGAUGCCAUCAUUCCUCUUUCUAAGUAUCCCCAGACUGUGCUUCUCAUAGUAGCAUGACUCAGCACUUACAGGUAUUUCAGUUUUGUGACUGAAUAACACAGCAAGUCUCAAGAAGAAAAAAUAUGGGGCAGGAAAGGUGCUUGCUGCCAAGUUGGAAAACCUGAUCCCAGAGCCCCACAUGGUGGAGAAAGAGACCUGACCCUGGCAAGUUGUCCUCUGACCUCUACAUGCUCCUGCCCCAGUCUUGCAAAAUUAAUAAAAUGCAAUUAAAA